RNAcentral lists this ribosomal RNA (460 nucleotides) under uncultured bacterium. Its description in RNAcentral is "partial 16S ribosomal RNA". It matches the Rfam family "Bacterial small subunit ribosomal RNA", at positions 338 to 795 of the family's 1533-position model. The record is from RNAcentral.
CCUACGGGAGUCAGCAGUGAGGAAUAUUGGUCAAUGGGCGGGAGCCUGAACCAGCAAAGUCGCGUGAGGGAAGACGGUCCUAUUGAUUGUACACCUCUUUAUCCGGGGAGCUAUGCCGGGCACGUGUGCACGGAGGGAGAGUACCCGCAGAAUCAGCAUCGGCUAAAUUCGUGCCAGCAGCCGCGGUAAUACGGAGUAUGCGAGCGUUAGCCGGAUUUAUUGGGUUUAAAGGGUGCGUAGGCGGAUUUUUAAGUCAGCGGUAAAAUGUCCGGGCUCAACCCGGGCCGGCCGUUGAAACUGGGGAUCUUGAGUGGGCGAGAAGUAUGCGGAAUGCGUGGUGUAGCGGUGAAAUGCAUAGAUAUCACGCAGAACUCCGAUUGCGAAGGCAGCAUACCGGCGCCCGACUGACGCUGAGGCACGAAAGCGUGGGGAUCGAACAGGAUUAGAUACCCCAGUAGUC